UACGAAGGGUGCUAGCGUUGUUCGGAAUUACUGGGCGUAAAGCGCGCGUAGGCGGCUAUCCAAGUCAGGGGUGAAAUCCUUGGGCUCAACCCAAGAAUUGCCUUUGAAACUGUAUAGCUAGAGUGUCGGAGGGGAUAGCGGAAUUGCUAAUGUAGAGGUGAAAUUCGUAGAUAUUAGCAGGAACACCGGUGGCGAAGGCGGCUAUCUGGACGACAACUGACGCUGAGGCGCGAAAGCGUGGGGAUCAAACAGG
This 253-nucleotide ribosomal RNA is filed under the name uncultured bacterium. RNAcentral describes it as "partial 16S ribosomal RNA". It matches the Rfam family "Bacterial small subunit ribosomal RNA", at positions 524 to 776 of the family's 1533-position model. The record is from RNAcentral.